This 510-nucleotide ribosomal RNA is filed under the name uncultured bacterium. RNAcentral describes it as "partial 16S ribosomal RNA". It matches the Rfam family "Bacterial small subunit ribosomal RNA", at positions 28 to 507 of the family's 1533-position model. The record is from RNAcentral.
GACGAACGCUGGCGGCGUGCUUAACACAUGCAAGUCGAACGAAGAGCGACGGAAGCUUGCUUCUAUCAAUCUUAGUGGCGAACGGGUGAGUAACGCGUAAUCAACCUGCCCUUCAGAGGGGGACAACAGUUGGAAACGACUGCUAAUACCGCAUACGAUCUAAUCUCGGCAUCGAGGAUGGAUGAAAGGUGGCCUCUACAGGUAAGCUAUCACUGAAGGAGGGGAGUGCGGCUGAUUAGCUAGUUGGAGGGGUAACGGCCCACCAAGGCGAUGAUCAGUAGCCGGUCUGAGAGGAUGAACGGCCACAUUGGGACUGAGACACGGCCCAGACUCCUACGGGAGGCAGCAGUGGGGAAUCUUCCGCAAUGGACGAAAGUCUGACGGAGCAACGCCGCGUGAGUGAUGACGGCCUUCGGGUUGUAAAGCUCUGUUAAUCGGGACGAAAGGCCUUCUUGCGAAUAGUGAGAAGGAUUGACGGUACCGGAAUAGAAAGCCACGGCUAACUACGUG